RNAcentral lists this ribosomal RNA (1932 nucleotides) under Staphylococcus succinus. Its description in RNAcentral is "bacterial LSU rRNA". It matches the Rfam family "Bacterial large subunit ribosomal RNA", at positions 988 to 2925 of the family's 2925-position model. The record is from RNAcentral. Lineage: Bacteria; Bacillati; Bacillota; Bacilli; Caryophanales; Staphylococcaceae.
AACGCGGGUGAUAAGGUCCGUGUUCGAGAGGGAAACAGCCCAGACCACCAGCUAAGGUCCCAAAAUAUAUGUUAAGUGGAAAAGGAUGUGGCGUUGCCCAGACAACUAGGAUGUUGGCUUAGAAGCAGCCAUCAUUUAAAGAGUGCGUAAUAGCUCACUAGUCGAGUGACACUGCGCCGAAAAUGUACCGGGGCUAAACAUAUUACCGAAGCUGUGGAUUGUCCGUAGGACAAUGGUAGGAGAGCGUUCUAAGGGCGUUGAAGCAUGAUCGCAAGGACAUGUGGAGCGCUUAGAAGUGAGAAUGCCGGUGUGAGUAGCGAAAGACGGGUGAGAAUCCCGUCCACCGAUUGACUAAGGUUUCCAGAGGAAGGCUCGUCCGCUCUGGGUUAGUCGGGUCCUAAGCUGAGGCCGAUAGGCGUAGGCGAUGGAUAACAGGUUGAUAUUCCUGUACCACCAAAAUUCGUUUUGAGCGAUGGGGGGACGCAGUAGGAUAGGCGAAGCGUGCUGUUGGAGUGCACGUCCAAGCAAUAAGACUGAGUAUUAGGCAAAUCCGGUACUCUUAAGGUCAAGUUGUGAUGGGGAGAGGAAAUUUUUUCCUCGAGUCGUUGAUUUCACACUGCCAAGAAAAGCCUCUAGCUAGAAUUUUGGUGCCCGUACCGCAAACCGACACAGGUAGUCAAGAUGAGAAUUCUAAGGUGAGCGAGCGAACUCUCGUUAAGGAACUCGGCAAAAUGACCCCGUAACUUCGGGAGAAGGGGUGCUCUUUAGGGUUAACGCCCAGGAGAGCCGCAGUGAAUAGGCCCAAGCGACUGUUUAUCAAAAACACAGGUCUCUGCUAAACCGUAAGGUGAUGUAUAGGGGCUGACGCCUGCCCGGUGCUGGAAGGUUAAGAGGAGUGGUUAGCUUCGGCGAAGCUACGAAUCGAAGCCCCAGUAAACGGCGGCCGUAACUAUAACGGUCCUAAGGUAGCGAAAUUCCUUGUCGGGUAAGUUCCGACCCGCACGAAAGGCGUAACGAUUUGGGCACUGUCUCAACGAGAGACUCGGUGAAAUCAUAGUACCUGUGAAGAUGCAGGUUACCCGCGACAGGACGGAAAGACCCCGUGGAGCUUUACUGUAGUCUGAUAUUGAAAUUCGUCACAGCUUGUACAGGAUAGGUAGGAGCCUUUGAUACGUGAGCGCUAGCUUACGUGGAGGCGUUGUUGGGAUACUACCCUCGCUGUGUUGGAUUUCUAACCCGCACCAUUUAUCAUGGUGGGAGACAGUGUCAGAUGGGCAGUUUGACUGGGGCGGUCGCCUCCUAAAGAGUAACGGAGGCGCUCAAAGGUUUCCUCAGAAUGGUUGGAAAUCAUUCAUAGAGUGUAAAGGCAUAAGGAAGCUUGACUGCGAGACUUACAAGUCGAGCAGGGUCGAAAGACGGACUUAGUGAUCCGGUGGUUCCGCAUGGAAGGGCCAUCGCUCAACGGAUAAAAGCUACCCCGGGGAUAACAGGCUUAUCUCCCCCAAGAGUUCACAUCGACGGGGAGGUUUGGCACCUCGAUGUCGGCUCAUCGCAUCCUGGGGCUGUAGUCGGUCCCAAGGGUUGGGCUGUUCGCCCAUUAAAGCGGUACGCGAGCUGGGUUCAGAACGUCGUGAGACAGUUCGGUCCCUAUCCGUCGUGGGCGUAGGAAAUUUGAGAGGAGCUGUCCUUAGUACGAGAGGACCGGGAUGGACAUACCUCUGGUGUACCAGUUGUCGUGCCAACGGCAUCGCUGGGUAGCUAUGUAUGGACGGGAUAAGUGCUGAAAGCAUCUAAGCAUGAAGCCCCCCUCAAGAUGAGAUUUCCCAACUUCGGUUAUAAGAUCCCUCAAAGAUGAUGAGGUUAAUAGGUUCGAGGUGGAAGCAUAGCGAUAUGUGGAGCUGACGAAUACUAAUCGAUCGAAGACUUAAUCAA